AUUAUUUUAAAUGUAAAUUUAUUAAUACUAAAUUAGUAAUAGUUAAGUUCUUUAAAGUUAAAGAUUUUGGCGGUAUUUUAGUCUAUUCAGAGGAACCUGUUCUGUAAUUGAUGUUCCACGAUUAAUUGUAUUUUUUUUAAAAGUUUGUAUAUCAUCGUUUUUAAUAAUUUUAUAAGAAUUUUUAAUUUUUAAGAUUUUUUAUUAAAAAGUAAAUCAGAUCAAGGUGCAGUUUAUGGAAAAAUAGAAAUGGGUUACAAUAAAUUUAUUUAUAUGGAUUAAUAUAUGAAAAAUUAUUAUGAAGGUGGAUUUGAAAGUAAUAAAAUUUAAUUAAAUUUUAUGAUUUUAGCUCUAAAAUAUGU
RNAcentral lists this ribosomal RNA (359 nucleotides) under Liopterus haemorrhoidalis. RNAcentral's name for it is "partial 12S ribosomal RNA". The record is from RNAcentral. Lineage: Eukaryota; Metazoa; Arthropoda; Insecta; Coleoptera; Dytiscidae.